AUGAUCUCUACAUCCGUCCUGCUGCUGCUGCUGGCAGCCGUACACUAUUUGCAUGGUGGAGAACUGACUCAGCCUGCUUCCAUGACAGUCCAGCCAGGACAGAGUCUCUCCAUCCACUGCAAGGUUUCAUACUCAGUUACGAGCUAUGGUACAGCUUGGAUCCGACAACCUGCAGGAAAAACUCUGGAGUGGAUUGGAAUCAUCUAUUAUGAUGGGAGUACCUCUUCCAGUGAGAAACUGAAAAACAAGUUCAGCAUCUCCAGAGACACUGCUACAAACACAAUAACAAUUCAAGGACAGAAUCUGCAGACUGAAGACACAGCUGUAUAUUACUGUGCAAGACGCAGCCUCUUUACUCACUGUGACUACUACGGCUACUUUGACUACUGGGGAAAAGGAACUCAAGUGACCGUGACUUCAGCAGUGCCAAGCGCGCCGAAGUCCCUGUUUCCCGUGUGGCAGUGCGGCUCGUCCCCGGACGGUUACGUCACUCUGGGCUGCAUCACGAGCGAUUUGGCCACCGCCGACGGACUGAGCUUCAAAUGGACGGAUGCGAACGGGAGCGCGCUGACUGACUUCGUGCAAUACCCAGCGGUGCGCGCGAACGGAGGCUUCACCUCGGUGAGCAACGCGCGCGUCAAGGCUGCCGACUGGGACCAGAGCAAGAAGUUCACGUGCCAAGUGGAAAAUAGCCUCGGUUCCAAAGAAGCGACCUUACAAAAGAUAGAUGUGAUCGAGCACCCCCCUACAUCUCUGCUUCUAACAACUCCCACCCAAAAAGAACUAGACAAUGGAACAGCUACCUUCAUCUGCUUAGCUGCACAUUUUUCGCCUAAAUCACACACGUUUAAGUGGACUCUUGAAAACCAGGACCUCGGUUCGAAGGUCAAAGACACCAUAUUAAGCCAAGAUAAAGGUGCUUACACUGCCAUAAGUAUUUUGGAAAUCAAGGCCUUCGAAUGGACGGGUCCAGUGAAGUGCGAAUUCCAGCAGAAGAAAUGGAAAGGAUCCGAAGAGGCGAAUUAUGUGUCAGUUCCAAAGCAGCCCGAGCUGAGCAUCUGCCCACCUUCCACCAGGGACAUACUGUUCGAUCGCGCCGGCGAGCUCGAGUGCAGGACCGACUUGGAUUCGGGUUUCAAGAGCAUUAAAUGGAUUAAUGACGAGGGUGAGGAGCUCUCUUCUGUCAAAAAAGUCUCAACGGAUUCCAAGGUCAGACUCAUCACCUCGAUCAGUUUCGAUGACUGGAGCAAAGGCACCAAUUUCACCUGCGAGGUGGAAAAUUCAGCGUUCAUCCAGCAGUAUAAAUCAGUCGUCUACCAAAGAACGAGUGGCGAAAAACACUGCCCCAAGGUUUACUUGCUCCCGCCACCAGAGAGACCAGGCAAAUCGGUGACCCUGACUUGCUAUGUAAAAGACUUCUACCCUAAGGAGGUGUAUGUGUCUUGGCUUGUUGACGAUAAUCAAGUGGACGAUGCGAAAGGCUAUAAGCACAACACCACUCGGGUUCUCGAGAGAGACCACCUGUUUUCAGUGUACAGCCAGCUGAUUGUCAGCAGUACAGAAUGGGAGAGUGGCGCUGUGUUCAGCUGCAGGGUUUAUCACGAGUCCAUCGAGGACUCUGUGCGCCUCAUAUCCAGAUCCAUCAAUAACAAAGCGACUCCACCCACCUUAGUGAAUCUCAACCUGAAUGUUCCCCCGACCUGCCAGACGUAUUAGAAACUGUGUUGUCUGCUAUUAAUGCUUGUUUUAUGUUUAUUUUUGCCCCGUCUUCCAUGUCCUUUUUUUUUUUUUAAUUAAUGCAAUGUCAUUGUCCUGAAGUCUGUCUGAUGCUUGUGUGUCCUUGGUCUUUGGAAUAUGUCUGAUGCAAUAUUACACUGAAACAAUGACAAUAAAAAAAUCCUUCAGCAUGUA
Non-coding RNA from Neoarius graeffei (lesser salmon catfish), 1911 nucleotides. NCBI's taxonomy places the organism in Eukaryota, Metazoa, Chordata, Actinopteri, Siluriformes, Ariidae. The record is from the annotation of a RefSeq genome assembly.